GCCACCUUAGCUCAGUGGUAGAGCAGCGGUUUUGUAAACCGCAGGCCGUCAGUUCAAGCCUGACAGGUGGCUCCA
This 75-nucleotide transfer RNA is filed under the name Acidobacteriota bacterium. RNAcentral describes it as "Acidobacteria bacterium tRNA-Thr". It matches the Rfam family "tRNA". From Rfam's summary of the family: Transfer RNA (tRNA) molecules are approximately 80 nucleotides in length. RNAcentral also lists the same sequence under 1 other name. The record is from RNAcentral. Lineage: Bacteria; Pseudomonadati; Acidobacteriota.